UUUAAUAGUAAAUUGAUUAUCAAAGAAGUAUUAGAUAAAAGCUUGAAAUUUAAAGAUUUUGGCGGUAUUUUAGUCUAUUUAGAGGAACCUGUUCUGUAAUUGAUAAUCCACGAUUAAUUAUACUUAUUAUAUAAAUUUGUAUAUCGUUGUUUAUAAAUAUUUUAAAAGAAUGGAAAUUUUUAAAAUUUUAUAUAAAAAAAUAAUUCAAAUCAAGGUGCAGUAAAUUAUUAAGAAGAAAUGGGUUACAAUAAAUUUAUUUAUAUGGAAAUUAAUAUGAAAAAUUUUUUUGAAGGAGGAUUUAAAAGUAAUAAAAUUUAAUUAAAUUUUAUGAUUUAAGCUCUAAAAUGUGU
RNAcentral lists this ribosomal RNA (350 nucleotides) under Queda youngi. RNAcentral describes it as "partial 12S ribosomal RNA". The record is from RNAcentral. Lineage: Eukaryota; Metazoa; Arthropoda; Insecta; Coleoptera; Dytiscidae.